UUAGCGGCGGACGGCUGAGUAACGCGUAGGAAUCUCCUCUAAGUGGAGCAUAGCCAGUUGAAAGAUUGGGUAAUUCUCCAUGUGACCGUAAGGUUAAAGAAGCAAUUCGCUUAGAGCGGAGCCUGCGUCCCAUCAGCUUGUUGGUAGGGUAAUGGCCUACCAAGGCGGAGACGGGUAGCUGGUCUGAGAGGACGAUCAGCCAGACUGGGACUGCGACACGGCCCAGACAUCUACGGAUGGCAGCAAUUAGGAAUCUUCGGCAAUGGGCGAAAGCCUGACCGAGCCAUGCCGCGUGCAGGACGACGGCCUUCGGGUUGUACACUGCUGUGGUAGUCUACUAAUUUUGAAGAGACUACUAGAAAGAGGUUGCUAAACUCUGUGCCAGCAGCAGCGGUGAUACAGAGACCUCAAACAUUAUUCCGGAAUUAUUGGGCGUAAAGCGUGCCGAUCGGCUGUUUGGUGUGUCUAGGGUGAAAGACCGGAGCUUUAACUCCGUGUUUGCUCUAGAAACUACCAAAUUUGAAGGGCAAAGGGGUGGCUGGAACUCCU
This 549-nucleotide ribosomal RNA is filed under the name uncultured organism. Its description in RNAcentral is "bacterial SSU rRNA". It matches the Rfam family "Bacterial small subunit ribosomal RNA", at positions 92 to 671 of the family's 1533-position model. The record is from RNAcentral.